AUGUCGUUGCAGAGCUUGAUUAAGUUUAUGCAGUACAUUUUAUGGAAUAUGCUAACUCUCCGUUCUGCUAAAAUUACAGGACACCUUGUCCCAGCAGGGUCGGCACACUCCGCUCCACUGAAAUUACAGGACCGGACGCCGUGUCCGGGGAGAAUUGGUGCACUGGAGCAAACGGUUCGGGUAUAUACAGAUAAGUUGGGUGAGCAUGCUGCUAUUGGGCUAACAUCGGACUCUGUGGGAGAAACCAAAUAUUUUUACAAUCUUUAUUCACGGAAGCAUGGUUUCGGCAUCAGAUAUGGGAAAAGUAGGCUUAACAUCGAGAAGACAAAGUGUAUGCAGGAAGUUGUCUAUGGAUAUGCUCUGGGAAGCCAAAUAUCAGAAAACAGCAGGUCCUGCCGGUGCGAGUGCCCAGCCAUGAUUCGAUUGCUCUACGCAGCUGACAAUGGGAAUAACAGCUUGUGUCUUCAGAACCUGCGGGUUAGAGUUGGUAGCCAUACCCUUGACAGGAUUGCUCAUGUUGGGACGACGGGAUUAUCAUCUAGCAACCAUCCAACAACACAUUGUUCUUAUUCUUCCUCCCGUGUGAACGAUCACUGCCCACCGUCGCUGGCAAUGUCGUCGGCCUAA
This 627-nucleotide ribosomal RNA is filed under the name Triticum aestivum (bread wheat). RNAcentral describes it as "partial small subunit ribosomal RNA". Lineage: Eukaryota; Viridiplantae; Streptophyta; Magnoliopsida; Poales; Poaceae. The record is from RNAcentral.